CGCCGAAUGACCAAGGGUUCCUGGGCCAGGUUAAUCCGCCCAGGGUGAGUCGGGACCUAAGGCGAGGCCGACAGGCGUAGUCGAUGGACAACGGGUUGAUAUUCCCGUACCCGUGUAUCCGCGCCCAAUGCUGAAUCAGUUGUGCUAAGUAUCCAAAUGUUGUCUUACCGAGCCUUCGGGUGAGGGGGAUGAUGGCUGCAUAUGACCCUGACUGUAGUAGGUAAGCGAUGGGGUGACGCAGGAAGGUAGCUGGGCCAGGUGAUGGAAUACCUGGUGUAAGCGUGUAGGGAGUGUGAUAGGCAAAUCCGUCACACAUGUGUCCUGAGACGUGAUGCGUACCCGUUGAGGGGAAUUCAGUGAUCCUAUGCUGCCGAGAAAAGCCUCUAGCGAGCUGGUACAUGGCCCGUACCCCAAACCGACACAGGUGGUCAGGUAGAGAAUACUAAGGCGAUCGAGAGAACUGUGGUUAAGGAACUCGGCAAAAUGCCCCCGUAACUUCGGGAGAAGGGGGACCACAUCUGGUGAUGAUCUUUACGGUCUGAGCUGGGUGGGGUCGCAGAGACCAGAGAGAAGCGACUGUUUACUAAAAACACAGGUCCGUGCGAAGUCGUAAGACGAUGUAUACGGACUGACGCCUGCCCGGUGCCGGAAGGUUAAGAGGACCGGUUAGCCACUUGUGGCGAAGCUGAGAAUUUAAGCCCCGGUAAACGGCGGUGGUAACUAUAACCAUCCUAAGGUAGCGAAAUUCCUUGUCGGGUAAGUUCCGACCUGCACGAAUGGCGUAACGACUUCUCUGCUGUCUCAACCACAGACUCGGCGAAAUUGCAUUACGAGUAAAGAUGCUCGUUACGCGCGGCAGGACGAAAAGACCCCGGGACCUUCACUAUAGCUUGGUAUUGGUGUUCGGUACGGUUUGUGUAGGAUAGGUGGGAGACUGUGAAGCGGGCACGCUAGUGUUUGUGGAGUCGUCGUUGAAAUACCACUCUGAUCGUAUUGGACUUCUAACCUCGGACCAUGAUCUGGUUCAGGGACAGUGCCUGGUGGGUAGUUUAACUGGGGCGGUUGCCUCCUAAAAUGUAACGGAGGCGCCCAAAGGUUCCCUCAGCCUGGUUGGCAAUCAGGUGUUGAGUGCAAGUGCACAAGGGAGCUUGACUGUGAGACUGACAGGUCGAGCAGGGACGAAAGUCGGGACUAGUGAUCCGGCACCGGCAAGUGGAAGCGGUGUCGCUCAACGGAUAAAAGGUACCCCGGGGAUAACAGGCUGAUCUUCCCCAAGAGUCCAUAUCGACGGGAUGGUUUGGCACCUCGAUGUCGGCUCGUCGCAUCCUGGGGCUGGAGUAGGUCCCAAGGGUUGGGCUGUUCGCCCAUUAAAGCGGCACGCGAGCUGGGUUUAGAACGUCGUGAGACAGUUCGGUCUCUAUCCGCCGCGCGCGUUAGAAACUUGAGGAAGGCUGUCCCUAGUACGAGAGGACCGGGACGGACGAACCUCUGGUGUGCCAGUUGUUCCGCCAGGAGCACUGCUGGUUGGCUACGUUCGGAAGGGAUAACCGCUGAAAGCAUCUAAGCGGGAAGCCUGUUCCAAGAUGAGGUUUCUCUCCACCUUGAGUGGUUAAGGCCCCCUACAGACCAUGGGGUUGAUAGGCCGGAACUGGAAGCCAGGUAACUGGUGUAGGUGACUGGUACUAAUAGGCC
Molecule: non-coding RNA, 1692 nt
Rfam family: Bacterial large subunit ribosomal RNA